GUCGACCUGCAGGCGGCCGCGAAUUCACUAGUGAUUUACGGUUACCUUGUUACGACUUCACCCCAGUCGCUGACUAUACCGUGGUCAAGGGUUUAAAACCUUGCCUUAAGGUAGAACCAACUCCCAUGGUGUGACGGGCGGUGUGUACAAGACCCGGGAACGCAUUCACCGUGGCACGCUGAUCCACGAUUACUAGUAAUUCCAGCUUCAUGCACUCGAGUUGCAGAGUGCAAUCCGAACUGAGGCAUCUUUUCGGGAUUUGCUUAACGUUGCCGUUUUGCUUCCUGUUGUAGAUGCCAUUGUAGCACGUGUGUAGCCCAACACGUAAGGGCCAUGAGGACUUGACGUCAUCCCCACCUUCCUCCAGCUUAUCACUGGCAGUUCUUUCAGAGUGCCCAACUUAAUGAUGGCAACUAAAAGUGAGGGUUGCGCUCGUUGCGGGACUUAACCCAACAUCUCACGACACGAGCUGACGACAGCCAUGCAGCACCUGUGUUUCGUCCGGCCGAACCGAAAACUCUAAUCUCUUAGAGUCGCGACGAACAUGUCAAGUGUUGGUAAGGUUCUGCGCGUAUCUUCGAAUUAAACCACAUGCUCCACUACUUGUGCGGGUCCCCGUCAAUUCAUUUGAGUUUUAACCUUGCGGUCGUACUCCCCAGGCGGUGUGUUUAUCGGUUUCCCUGCGACACUGAAAAUAAAUUUCCAACGUCUAACACACAUCGUUUACGGCAUGGACUACGAGGGUAUCUAAUCCUCUUCGCUACCCAUGCUUUCGUUCC
RNAcentral lists this ribosomal RNA (779 nucleotides) under uncultured bacterium. RNAcentral's name for it is "partial 16S ribosomal RNA". The record is from RNAcentral.